CGUAGGCGGCAUGACAAGUCACUUGUGAAAUCUCCGGGCUUAACUCGGAACGGCCAAGUGAUACUGUCGCGCUAGAGUGCGGAAGGGGCAAUCAGAAUUCUUGGUGUAGCAGUGAAAUGCGUAGAUAUCAAGAGGAAUACCUGAGGUGAAGACGGGUUGCUAGGCCGACACUGACGCUGAGUGCGCGAAAGCCAGGGGAGCAAACG
This 206-nucleotide ribosomal RNA is filed under the name uncultured bacterium. RNAcentral's name for it is "partial 16S ribosomal RNA". It matches the Rfam family "Bacterial small subunit ribosomal RNA", at positions 570 to 774 of the family's 1533-position model. The record is from RNAcentral.